UGGGGAAUUUUGGACAAUGGGCGAAAGCCUGAUCCAGCAAUGCCGCGUGUGUGAAGAAGGCCUUCGGGUUGUAAAGCACUUUUGUCCGGAAAGAAAUCCUUGGUUCUAAUAUAGCCGGGGGAAUGACGGUACCGGAAGAAUAAGCACCGGCUAACUACGUGCCAGCAGCCGCGGUAAUACGUAGGGUGCGAGCGUUAAUCGGAAUUACUGGGCGUAAAGCGUGCGCAGGCGGUUUGCUAAGACCGAUGUGAAAUCCCCGGGCUCAACCUGGGAACUGCAUUGGUGACUGGGCAGGCUAGAGUAUGGCAGAGGGGGGUAGAAUUCCACGUGUAGCAGUGAAAUGCGUAGAGAUAUGGAGGAAUACCGAUGGCGAAGGCAGCCCCCUGGGCCAAUACUGACGCUCAUGCACGAAAG
This 414-nucleotide ribosomal RNA is filed under the name uncultured bacterium. Its description in RNAcentral is "partial 16S ribosomal RNA". It matches the Rfam family "Bacterial small subunit ribosomal RNA", at positions 355 to 759 of the family's 1533-position model. The record is from RNAcentral.